RNAcentral lists this long non-coding RNA (255 nucleotides) under Mytilus galloprovincialis (Mediterranean mussel). Lineage: Eukaryota; Metazoa; Mollusca; Bivalvia; Mytilida; Mytilidae. The record is from RNAcentral.
AUUGCGAUAAGACGUGUCACGGUACUUGUCUAUCCCAUAUUCAUGUAUUUGGUUUUGAUGUUAUAUUUGUUAUUCUCGUGGGAUUUUGUCUGAUGCUUGGUCUGUUUCUGUGUGUGUUACAUUGUAGUGUUGUGUCGUUGUUCACCUCUUAUGUUUGGUGCGUUUCCCUCAGUUCUAGUUUGUUACCCCGAUUUUGUUUUUUGUCCAUGGAUUUAUGAGUUUGAACAGCGGUAUACUACUGUUGCCUUUAUUUAU